AGGUCAGGUGAACACCGCCGUCUGUCGGGUGCUGUGGGGCUGGGUGGGGAGGGCAGUCCCAGAAGGAAGGAGGCCGGGUGCAGAAACAGGCUUCAAGAAGGAGGAGAGCAGAAGCGGGUCCUGGUGGCUUCCACCAGCCGGGCCACGCUCCCCCAGUCUUCCAAGCUGCCCUGCGUGAGGACAGCAGGGGAGCAGAUCUUCCUGCAGACAGGACGGCUGGCCUGCCUUCUCCCAGAACAGUGCAGUCAGAUAGGAGGACAGUGGACUCGGCGGGAUCCACAUCUCACAUGACCACCGCUGGCUGAGCCUCCUUCCUUCCACCAGGAUGGUGGUAGGAUUCACUAUUGCGUGGCGGACAGGUGGCCUCUUGGUGAGGGCAUCCCAGGCCAGCACCCUCUGCGACUUCUCUGGCUUGACUCCUGGUCUGUGUCUGUGUGGCAGCCGCUGCAGGAGACCACCUGUUCAGUGGUCCAAGGCUGGGUCCUGCCCAGCCACAAGAGAUGUUUUCGGCGGACUUCACUGCAGCCGCCAGCACCAUGGAGCCACGGACAUGGGGGGUGAGGUCCCUUUGGGGCUGCAUGUUUUAUCAGAUGCCCAAAUCCUAGGCUCUUUCUCCAAUAGGCACUGACCUCCUUCCUGGCCUCCUGCCAGGUGCCUGGAGGGAGAGUCAGGUUUCCGUUUGGAUUGCGGCCGGUCCCCAUCAUCACAGAGGAUGAGUGUGUGACAGAUCAGGCGGCAGGAGAGCCGUUCCAGGGCGAGUGUCUGGCCCAGGAGAGGACUGGUCUCAUGCACUCCCUCCUGUGUGGUACUCGCAAGACUGUGCUUUGUUCCUGCCUUCCUGCCCCUGCCCCACUCAGGCUGCAAGUGCUUGUGGUCCUGGUGGUCAUCUUCUCACACGCAGGGGUCAUGAGCAAACUCAUUUCUCUCCACUCUCUAUCAUUGCAAAAGCCGUGCAAACGGUUGGGGCCCCAUGCGGCCUCCGUCCUCAUCAUUGUGUCCUUGAUGAGCUGAGAUGCAGCAGGUGUCAAUUCCCAGCAUUUUCCCAGAGACCUCACAGUUCUCUUGUCCAAGGUGGGUUGUAACUGCCUGGUGCCCUGAUUUUACCUUUAACGAAGGAACAUCGUGUGGUGUUCAGAACAUUAAACAAGAAGGACAGUGAAGUGAAAUAGGCGAGACUGGAAAAGCAAGAGAGCCCAGAACAGCCCAGAACUCUGGAAUGAGGGGGAGGCAGGGGAGGCUGUGCCUGAGGGCAGGGCGGGCUCCAGAGCCGAGUAUGGGGAGGGCUGGAGAGGGAGGCCAGACCUUGCAGACAUAUGUUAUAAUUUGCUAAACCCCUUUGUAAAAACUAUAUUGCGUGAACUUUGGGGAUUUUUUAAAUUAAAAUAUACAUGCAGGG
Mustela lutreola (European mink) is the source of this 1396-nucleotide long non-coding RNA. RefSeq lists it as uncharacterized. Lineage: Eukaryota; Metazoa; Chordata; Mammalia; Carnivora; Mustelidae. The transcript has 2 exons. The record is from RefSeq and is a predicted model, not a curated record.